UCCCGUCUCCAGCCCCCUUCUUUCUUUCUCUCUCUCUUCCUCCCACCCCUCUCCAGCCCCUCUCAUACUCCACUCAAAGCUCUCCGCUGCCUGAAGCUCCAUCGUGGCCUCCUCGCUGCUAUAUUUAAAGCCGUCGCAGUAGACAGCCGCUGCCUCAAAGAACGCAAAGAUCAAGAAGAACUCGGCCACCCCCGGCAUAGCCAGCGCUCCGGCAAGACUUGCGCCCCUCCACCGCCCCUGUGAAUUGUUCUAGACGCGAGGAUGGAAAUCAUGGAAUCGAUGAAUCAAACCCAGUAUGCGUGUGUCGACUGCACCGUCGUUCUCCCCGUAUAAAUGCGUGAAGAAAAGCUUCGUCUUCAAGAUUCCUUCUCUCACGAAACGUUAAUUCAUUCGUUCAAUGGAAGAGGAGGAGGAUCGAAGGCUCCCAUCAUCGGACGGCGGAGGCGGAGGAUGACGAUCUAUCGGCGACGACGGUGCUGGACCUCACCAGCUUCCAGCUCCACGAUCUAAACUCGGUGGAGUUCCCUCCGAGUCUCACUGAGUUGGACCUCACCACCAAUCGCCUCUCUGCUUUGGACCCUCAAAUUGGUCAUCUCUCCGGCCUCAAGAAGCUCUCUCUCCACCAGAACCUGUUUGAGGACGCCGCCGUCGAGUGCCUCUCCCGCUGGGACCGCAUUUCAGGCCUCGAGGAUAAAAAUAAAACAUAGCUAGAGGAAGGACUGGCAUGACAGAAGAUGAUCGAAUGGAUAGUUUUGUGGCGGAUGAACUGGUGGUGACGGUGAAUAUUGUGCCUUGAGGCACGGGUACAUGCUAGAAUUCCCACUUACCCCCAAUCCUAAAGUUGGCGGGGGGUAAUGGCGGUCCGAGA
Long non-coding RNA from Diospyros lotus (date-plum), 868 nucleotides. RefSeq lists it as uncharacterized. The record is from RefSeq and is a predicted model, not a curated record. Lineage: Eukaryota; Viridiplantae; Streptophyta; Magnoliopsida; Ericales; Ebenaceae. The transcript has 3 exons.